RNAcentral lists this ribosomal RNA (486 nucleotides) under uncultured bacterium. Its description in RNAcentral is "bacterial SSU rRNA". It matches the Rfam family "Bacterial small subunit ribosomal RNA", at positions 30 to 507 of the family's 1533-position model. The record is from RNAcentral.
AUUGAACGCUGGCGGCAUGCUUUACACAUGCAAGUCGAACGGCAGCGCGGGGGCAACCCUGGCGGCGAGUGGCGAACGGGUGAGUAAUGUAUCGGAACGUAUCCUGUAAUGGGGGAUAACCAGUCGAAAGAUUGGGUAAUACCGCAUACGCACGAGAGUGGAAAGUAGGGGAUCGCAAGACCUUACGUUAUAGGAGCGGCCGAUAUCUGAUUAGCUAGUUGGUGGGGUAAAGGCCUACCAAGGCGACGAUCAGUAGCUGGUCUGAGAGGACGACCAGCCACACUGGGACUGAGACACGGCCCAGACUCCUACGGGAGGCAGCAGUGGGGAAUUUUGGACAAUGGGCGAAAGCCUGAUCCAGCCAUGCCGCGUGCAGGAAGAAGGCCUUCGGGUUGUAAACUGCUUUAGUCUAGGAAAAAAGGGGUGCGAGGUUAAUACCCUCGUGCUUUGAUGGUACUGGAAGAAUAAGCACCGGCUAACUACGUG